UACGUAGGGUGCAAGCGUUGUCCGGAAUUAUUGGGCGUAAAGAGCGUGUAGGCGGCUCGAUCAGUCCGCUGUAAAAGUCCAGGGCUCAACCCUGGGAUGCCGGUGGAUACUGUCGGGCUAGAGUCCGGAAGAGGCGAGUGGAAUUCCUGGUGUAGCGGUGAAAUGCGCAGAUAUCAGGAGGAACACCAAUGGCGAAGGCAGCUCGCUGGGACGGUACUGACGCUGAGACGCGAAAGCGUGGGGAGCAAACAGG
RNAcentral lists this ribosomal RNA (253 nucleotides) under uncultured bacterium. Its description in RNAcentral is "partial 16S ribosomal RNA". It matches the Rfam family "Bacterial small subunit ribosomal RNA", at positions 524 to 776 of the family's 1533-position model. The record is from RNAcentral.